UGAUACCUGCUAUGCGCGUGAUGACGUGUCCGUUUUGGGCCAACACUCACAUAGACGGGGACUGUCGUCUGUCAUUGAGGUGAUAGGCCUGAGCCAAGACCGAACUGACAGGAGGGUUCCCACCUGCGAAAGCAGGUUCAAAACUCAGCGCCACACGGCAUGGCAGGUUUUGC
RNAcentral lists this non-coding RNA (173 nucleotides) under Chloroflexota bacterium. RNAcentral's name for it is "Chloroflexi bacterium 6S RNA". It matches the Rfam family "6S / SsrS RNA". Rfam says of the family: E. coli 6S RNA was the first non coding RNA to be sequenced, but its function was unknown until recently. It consists of 184 nucleotides that fold into an extended hairpin structure with a large single-stranded internal bulge. The 6S RNA specifically associates with RNA polymerase holoenzyme containing the sigma70 specificity factor. The record is from RNAcentral. Lineage: Bacteria; Bacillati; Chloroflexota.